AACGAACGCUGGCGGCAUGCCUAACACAUGCAAGACGAACGGUAAGUUGAGUAGCAAUACUUAGCCAAGAGUGUCGUACGGGUGCGUAACACGUAUGCAACCUACCCUAUACAGGAGGAUAGCCUAGGGAAACCUGGAUUAACCCUUCAUAGUAUUAUUGGAUGGCAUCAUUUGAUAAUUAAAACUGAGGUGGUAUAGGAUGGGCAUGCGUCUGAUUAGUUAGUUGGCGGGGUAAUGGCCCACCAAGACGAUGAUCAGUAGGGGUUCUGAGAGGAAGAUCCCCCACACUGGCACUGAGAUACGGGCCAGACUCCUACGGGAGGCAGCAGUAGGGAAUAUUGGUCAAUGGAUGCAAGUCUGAACCAGCCAUGCCGCGUGCAGGAAGAAGGCCUUUCUGGGUUGUAAACUGCUUUUGCCAGGGGAUAAAAUUUCCAUGCGUGGAAAACUGAAGGUACCUGGUGAAUAAGCCACGGCUAACUACGUGCCAGCAGCCGCGGUAAUC
This 502-nucleotide ribosomal RNA is filed under the name uncultured bacterium. Its description in RNAcentral is "bacterial SSU rRNA". It matches the Rfam family "Bacterial small subunit ribosomal RNA", at positions 29 to 525 of the family's 1533-position model. The record is from RNAcentral.